CUAUGGGGAAGAUAUUCAAAGUCAAGAUGUAGCCCAUUAGACUCUCUGGGGAGCUUUUAAAAAUACCAAAUGCCUGGGCCAUACCUAAAGAGAUUCAUUUAGUUGGGCCAAGCUGGGGACUGGAGACAGACAAGGAGAUUUUAGAAGCCUCCUUUGUGAUUCUAAUGAAUAUCUGGACAGAGAAGCAGACAAGUGCAUGCUUUUCCAGCAUUUCCUGGGCCCCCUGUUUUGAAUCCAAGCCACAGAUCUUUCAACAUACUCGCUGCUGGGCCUCCUUGUUCUCCCCUUGGUGUGACCGAGGGGUCAGAUGACCACGUAUGUGCCUCUAGGAGAAGCCGCCACCUGUUGUGGUAAAUUUGGUGUGAUUUCAUCAUCUCUCUGCCCUAUGUAUUUUCAGUAUCUUAUAACUACAUCUGUACGGAUGAUCUGUUGUUUUCCACCUUGAAGCAGCCUGUGCAGUCACGGGGGCAUGAGCUGCGGUGUUGCUGGGCUUCUGCCCUGUAAAUACGGCUGGUUCUCAUUUCUGGACCAGCAUCUGAUAGUCAUGACCCCAGAGGAGACCAGUGAAUCAUCCAGUCAUGGGGUUUGGAGAUGAUUCAGCAAGAUCCAAGUGGUGUCAGGAGUGCUUUUGGCUGAAGUUCUCAAAGAAUAAAAGCCUUGUGGGAACAAGAACAUGGAGCCCAGGACCUGCCCAAAGGUGAAGUGCAGCCAGCAAAUUUCUUGGGGACUUUUCUGUAUUUAAUAGUCUAUUUGGAAUCAGCCAUGCAUUUCCCUCCACUGAGAUGAACCAGUUCUGGCCAGGCUUUGUAUGCCAUCCUGAUGGAACCUUACUUUGGGGACUGGCUGCUGGCACCCCUGAGCUGGCUUCUGUUCUCCUGGCUCCAUCAGCAAGCUCAGUCCCAGCUUCCCCUUUCACUGCCCUUUGCCUGCCACUUCCCAACCUCUGUUUAUUAUGUCCUCACCAGUGUUGUGGAUCUAGUGACUUAAUGUAGUUGAUAUUAUUUACAUGUCCCAUGGAAGAUGCCAAGCUGAUGUUGCCAGCAAAUCUCAUGUCCCUGCUCCCCAGCUGGCCGAGGUAGAGGGGCCUUUGGAAGGCAGGUGACCUGAGCUCUACCUCUCGGAAAGGGGCUGUUGAAACUCCUUUACUCUUGGAACUUGCAUUUGAAGCCUGUUUGGCUGAGUGUCAUCCCUUUCCCCCAUCCUCUAUGGGCUGAAAUCUGUCAGUCUUCUUGGGCUGCAUAUGCAAUAUGACCUCUAGUGAAAUCAAACAUCUGGGCCUGUUUCUAAUUGGACUAAUUGGAACAGAUUGGUAGAGCUGCAGAGAGACCUGUUGCUCCUCUCUGGGCUCUUGGCGCCAGACAGAAGAAGCAACCAAUCAGUAAUUCAGGCAAUUUAAGGCUCAUUUUGCUUGCUAGCCAAAUCUCCACUCUUCCCCCAACCCCCCACCAUUUAUUUCAUAAUGUGAUUUUCAUGACUCAGGUCCAUGUGUCUUGUUUUGGAAAAUACAAGUAACGGCUGUAAACAUAGCAUUGCCUCCCCCUGCUUUGGGUACCCUGAGAUUUAGAAUGCCCAUGGUGACUUAUCAAUUAGUCCUUCAUUUGACAACAUGUUGAAGGGUCAUUUGUAACCAAUCUUUAUUGAGCACCUACCAUGUGUCAGCCACUGUUCUGCUCACUAGGGAUACGGGGGAAGGCAGACAGAUAAGCAGAGCAAAUAAAUCAAUAGAGAUGCGAUGACCUAAGAUGAUAAGCACUAUAAGGGUGGCAGUAUGACCGAGAUGGGAUUGGAGGGAAAGGCUGCUUCAUAUCCAGGGAAGGCAAGGGGUCAGGGAUGUGGCACAUACCCUGUGUGUGGGGCUGGAAGACUGAGUAAGAUGUGGCUCCUGGUCGCACAGAGCUCCCGGUCUGGUUGGGGGAUGGGUAAAGAGGACAGUGAGGAAUAAUGUAUUAUGUGCUAUGAUGGAGUUGGAUAAAAGGGAGAGUGUAGUGGGAGUGACUAGCAAUAGGUCUCACUGCAGCUCUACUAAUCUAGUCCAAUUAGUUCAUGAGAGCAAGGAAAAGUGGAAAUCAAGGGAUCAAGUUGGGGGAGGAUUUGUUAUGUGUUCAUCCAUUCAGCCACAUUUCACUGAAUGAGCAUCUGCUGUGCUCCGGGCAUUGUUCGGGGUGCUGCGGUUCCGUGGUGAGCAACAGAGGAGCAGCCUCUGACUGCCUGGAGUUCACAUGCUGAUGUUGGGGUGGGGUAGGCCAAGAACACGCAAACAAGUAGGACACUUGGGGAUGGGAUGAGCACUGUGAGGACCACACAGGAUGAUGUUAAAGGAAGAGCUUGGUGUAUUCUGAGGGCUGUGCUGGGGAUGGGACUUGACAGAGUGGCCCAUGGAAGCUUCUGGUGCCGAGAUUGGGUCCCGGGGCUUUCUGGGAGGAGGGGGACUUCCAGGCAGUUGGAGCUACCAGGUAGAAGUCCUGAGGCAGGAAUCAGCAUGACCAGUGUGAGGAACAGGAAAAAGCCCAGUGUGGCCACGGCCUGGUAAAUAAGGGAGAAGGAUUCAGAGAUGAAGCAGGCAGAAUGCAAGAAACCGAGCUGUGAAGCUGUCGUAGGGGUCCAGGCUGGAGAGGACAGAGGCCUGACCUGGAGUGAUGGCGCUGGAGAUGGCGCAACAUGGAAAAAUCAAAGAUACAUGGACGAAUAGAACUAAGAGGACUUCUGAUACGUGGUCUUUGCAGAUGGAGCAUUGGAAGGAAUCAAUGCUAACGGUGGCUUGAGCAAAUGAGUGGUUGGGGGGUGGUUACUGAGAUGGGAAAGACUAAGAAAAGAACUGGUUUGUGGGGGAAAUCACGAUUUUUCUUUGGAUGCAUUUAGUAUGAGAUGCUAAUUGGACAUCCCCAUGGAGAGGAAGCAGUCCUGACGAAGACUUGAGGUAUGAGGGUGGCAAGCCCUUCCCUGGAGGCCAGGUGCCUGGGGAUAGCGUGGGAGAGAGCUGCAGUUAGGACAGGCAAUGCCGGGGGUGAUGGGGAAUAGCCCAGAAGUGGGACGUGACAGGAGGCGGGGAGACUACCCUGGUCUGCCGUCACUGUCCAUGUGGGAAAGUGUGUGAGACAUGAAUCCCUUUGGUACCUGCACCUUAGAUUUGCCUCCUUGUGCAGUGGACUGCUUCCUGAUUCCAUUUCAGGGUUGGUCACCCAGCCAACAGUACAGCUGGCAUGUAGGGGGCUUUUGGAUUGGGUCCAUCUCUAUGCUAUUGGCUUCUGAUAAUGUAAUCUGCACCAAGACCCUCUGAGGUGGGUGUGGCUCCCCUACUUAUGCAUAAAUGUGGGGGUAGUUGCAGUUGUUUUUGGUGAGCUCAGAAUGACACUGAGUAAGUGACCUCUAAAAACAUCUCUUGUUAGCAGACAUUGUUGCCCUGUUUGUCCUGGGGGUGAUAUUCUCACCUGUGAAGGCUCUUGCUUGUGGUCCUUAAGGAUGGGAGCGUCUGAACUAUUAUUACCCCCAUUUUAAGAUAAAGAAACUGAGUCUCAGGAGAGCCCAGUGACCUCCCAAAGUGUCACAGUCGGUGCAUGGAGGGCAGGAAGCCUCUCCCUGGUCCUUCUUUCUUCUCUCUCAAGCCCCUGUUGCUAAUCACUGCACAGAAGGUCAGGUAUGGGGAUACACCAGAGGCAAUGGCGGUGGCUUGCAGGUCUUUGGUCAGAAGAAAAGCUUGUGUGCUGUGUGAUCAUCAUAGACAAAUCAGCGUUUCAGAAGGAAGAGGAAAUGUGCACACGGGGGAAGCCCUCUUAUCUAGCACACUGGAGAAGGCGAUCUGCCAUUUAUAUUUAAUCUGCAAGUACAGAAUCAUCAAAUAAAACAGACAUAAAUUAAUGUUAUUUUUUAUCUAAAGCAUUCAAAUGGGAACUUUUCUUUGUGAAUGAACUGCAGAUAGGCAUGUAGUGUUGUCAUUUAUUCUUUUUAUUUUAAAUGCAACACACCUUUGUCUAGUUUUUCCAAAGCAUUCGAUUUAGCUCUUAUAGAAACAAGAAUUCUUUCUUUUUUGAAUUUGUAGUUGAUCAGUUUAUUUAAUAUUUGAUUAAAUUAUGUAGUUUCAAUAAUGAGCACAAUAGGUAUAAACAGAUUUGAGAACAGACACAAGGCACUCUUGGAAAAAGCAUGAUGCACAGAAGAGAGGGCUUCCUACCCAGUCCUGCACCAGCUGUCAGUCUUCAGAGCAUCUGGGACAUCCACCAACAGACUCUGUAGAGAGGAUGGGUCAUGUUGGUUAUUCUGGCAAGUAGGUUAAGUGAGACUCAAUUAAAAGAGCCCCUGCUGAUGGAAAUACAUAUGCAGUACAUAUUUGUAUGUGCAAACACUUGAAGUCAAAUAAAUACUUGUACGGAAAUAA
Molecule: non-coding RNA, 4372 nt
Organism: Manis javanica (Malayan pangolin)
Lineage: Eukaryota; Metazoa; Chordata; Mammalia; Pholidota; Manidae
Source: RefSeq, a predicted model, not a curated record